RNAcentral lists this ribosomal RNA (322 nucleotides) under uncultured eukaryote. Its description in RNAcentral is "partial 18S ribosomal RNA". It matches the Rfam family "Eukaryotic small subunit ribosomal RNA", at positions 1470 to 1796 of the family's 1831-position model. The record is from RNAcentral.
CCCUUAGAUGUUCUGGGCUGCACGCGCGCGACAAUGACGUUUGCAACGAGAUUGCGAGGCCGUCAGGUCGAGCUGAUCUUGCAAGCUGCGUCGUGAUAGGGACAGUCGAUUGCAAUUAUUCGACUCGAACGAGGAAUUCCUUGUAAUCGCGCAUCAUCAGUGCGCGCUGAAUACGUCCCUGCCCUUUGUACACACCGCCCGUCGCUCCUACCGAUUGAGUGAUCCGGGGAAUGUUUUGGAUCGGCUUCAAGUUGGUUCGCGCCUCUUGCUUGCUGUGAAAUCAUGUAAACCUUAUUGCUUAGAGGAAGGAGAAGUCGUAACA